Long non-coding RNA from Astatotilapia calliptera (eastern happy), 1209 nucleotides. Lineage: Eukaryota; Metazoa; Chordata; Actinopteri; Cichliformes; Cichlidae. The record is from Ensembl.
CUCAGCUCUUACUGAGACAGUGGCGCGGCUGCUCCUCUGUUGGUUUUCCUUGGUCUCUUGUGUUCUGGGGGCCUCUGGAUGUCUGGAGUUUUGAUCUCCUCCAUACCUGCUUCAUAUCCUGGAGGACGGGGCUGUGGCCCCCCUCCACACUCCCUAGCAGAUCGUUACAUGGAGAAACCUUUGGAAUGCAAGCAUGCUGAUCCACACAGGUGUGCACACAGGUGUACACACGGGUAUUCACAGACGCGGACUACAGCUUUCUUGGCUGCUGCCUCAAAGCACAUUGUGCACUGUCUAUCGUGCGUGCUGCACAAUAUCGUUUAUUAUUUAGUAUCUACUGUUAUCUACUGCUAGCUAGUUUAUUGUGAUGGUGCCGUUUUUUUAUUAUGUUGCUCUUUGUUGUUUGCUUUCUCUUCUGUUUUUUUUGUCCAUACAGGUGACCCAGGUGUUUUGUUUGUUUUUCCUUUCUCUUUUUUUCUUUCUUCCCCCCCUUCUCACCGUCUCUUCUCCCCUUUGGUUUUCUUUCUCUCCCUCUCUUUCUUUCAUUCUUUCUCCCUAUCCAAUCCCCCAGUCAUGUCUGUCCCGUUUGUAGCAACUGAAAAUAAAAUAAAUUCAUAAUUAUAAUAAAGGUCAAUCAAAUGGACCAAUAUGGCAAGGCCAUGAUGAUCCACUUAGUAAAAUAAAUCCGCUUGGCAUCUUUCUUGGCCUUAAGACAACAAUUCUGAUGGCUAAAGAUCCAAACGGGACACAAAAAAAGAAAAAAAAAACAAAAAAACAACAACUACAAACACUAGUGAAGUGAAUGGGCAUUUAAUUAAAUAAUAAUAGAUUUAAUUCAAUAAUUAAUGGCAUAUUUAAUUAAUUCAUUUUGUCACUCCUGGCCCUCCACACCUCACUGCCAUGAUUGUUUGUGUAGUUAUUGGAUUCUAAAACUACUAGAAUAGAAUAGAAAACACAUAAGAUGCAGUCUCUGUUUUUUCUUCACCUUAUUAAUUUGAACUGAACUGAAAUAAAUCCGUUCUUUUCUGUAUGGUAAUCAGUGUUGGUCAAGUUACUUGAAAAAAGUAAUCGGUAACUAAUUACCGAUUACUUCCCCCAAAAAGUAUUCCCGUUACUUUACUGAUUACUUAUUUUCAAAAGUAAUUAAUUACUUAGUUACUUAGUUACUUUUUAAAAACACGAUUUACAACCUGAAUAGGUGAUAAAGCG